GAUGAACGCUAGCUACAGGCUUAACACAUGCAAGUCGAGGGGAAACGACAUCGAAAGCUUGCUUUUGAUGGGCGUCGACCGGCGCACGGGUGAGUAACGCGUAUCCAACCUGCCCAUCACUUGGGAAUAACCUUGCGAAAGUAAGACUAAUACCCAAUGACAUCCCACGAAGACAUCUGAAUGGGAUUAAAGAUUUAUCGGUGAUGGAUGGGGAUGCGUCUGAUUAGCUUGUUGGCGGGGUAACGGCCCACCAAGGCAACGAUCAGUAGGGGUUCUGAGAGGAAGGUCCCCCACAUUGGAACUGAGACACGGUCCAAACUCCUACGGGAGGCAGCAGUGAGGAAUAUUGGUCAAUGGGCGAGAGCCUGAACCAGCCAAGUAGCGUGCAGGAUGACGGCCCUAUGGGUUGUAAACUGCUUUUAUAAGGGAAUAAAGUGGGUCUCGGGAGACUUUUUGCAUGUACCUUAUGAAUAAGAACCGGCUAAUUCCGUG
Molecule: ribosomal RNA, 492 nt
Filed under: uncultured bacterium
Lineage: Bacteria
Description: partial 16S ribosomal RNA
Rfam family: Bacterial small subunit ribosomal RNA
Source: RNAcentral